Molecule: long non-coding RNA, 537 nt
Organism: Panonychus citri (citrus red mite)
Lineage: Eukaryota; Metazoa; Arthropoda; Arachnida; Trombidiformes; Tetranychidae
Exons: 3
Source: RefSeq, a predicted model, not a curated record
UCCAAUGUAUGAAUGCGUUAGGAAUUAUAAUUUGGACAAGCCAUAAAUUGUCCAUUCAAGCAAAUAGCAUUCGGAAUGACAAUGAAACAUUGAUUUGAAAGGCGCGGGGAUAGAGAUAAACUUUUCAAAUGGUCAGUAACUGACCACCAGUUAGGUUGACAGGUUAAAUUUUCAACAAGAAAUUUGAAUUUCAAACAACCAAGUUUUUCGGUCAAGAAAAGUUCUUUCUGUAUCUUUUAUCGUGUGGUUUAUUUUUUAGAUUGUUUUAUGUAACUUUCAACAAUGAAUAUCAAUGAUUUGCCUGAUGAUUGUUCACUUUUGAUUUUUGAUCAGUUUUAUCAAUUGCGACAAUUUGCUACAUUGAUGAAAAUUUGUCGUCGCUGGAAGAUAUUAGCGGAAAAGAGACUGAAGAAGAUCACUCACUUUCAUGUUACAUUGGCCACUCGAUUAAGGCGGAUUGAUCAUUCGCUUGAACAAAAUCAUCUUCCAUUAGCUCGUAAAUGUAACAUCACAAUAAGCAGAAAGUUCUUGAUGAAA